UGAGGAAUAUUGGUCAAUGGACGCAUGUCUGAACCAGCCAAGUAGCGUGCAGGAUGACGGCCCUAUGGGUUGUAAACUGCUUUUAUAUGGGGAUAAAGUGGGGAACGUGUUCCCUUUUGCAGGUACCAUAUGAAUAAGGACCGGCUAAUUCCGUGCCAGCAGCCGCGGUAAUACGGAAGGUUCGGGCGUUAUCCGGAUUUAUUGGGUUUAAAGGGAGCGUAGGCCGUUUGGUAAGCGUGUUGUGAAAUGUAGGAGCUCAACUUCUAGAUUGCAGCGCGAACUGUCAGACUUGAGUGCGCACAACGUAGGCGGAAUUCAUGGUGUAGCGGUGAAAUGCUUAGAUAUCAUGAAGAACUCCGAUUGCGAAGGCAGCUUACGGGAGCGCAACUGACGCUGAAGCUCGAAGGUGCGGGUAUCGAACAGG
This 424-nucleotide ribosomal RNA is filed under the name Verrucomicrobiota bacterium. Its description in RNAcentral is "Verrucomicrobia bacterium partial 16S ribosomal RNA". It matches the Rfam family "Bacterial small subunit ribosomal RNA", at positions 355 to 776 of the family's 1533-position model. Lineage: Bacteria; Pseudomonadati; Verrucomicrobiota. The record is from RNAcentral.